CUACGGGAUGCUCCAGUUAGGAAUAAUCUACAAUGCGCGAAAGCGUGAUAGUUUGAGCCAGAGUGCUUCUCAUUGAGAAGCUUUUGUGAGAUGUAAAAAGUCUCACGAAUAAGGACUGGGUAAGACGAGUGCCAGCCGCCGCGGUAAUACUCGCGGUCCAAGUCGCAGCCACAUUUAUUGGGUCUAAAACAUCCGUAGCUUGCUUGACAAGUUCUUUGUGAAAUCUUAUGUCUUAAACAUAAGGCGCGCGGAGAAUACUACCAAGCUAGAGACUGGGAGACGUAAGAAGUACGUUCAAAGUAGUGGUAAAAUACGUUAAUCUUGGACGGACUCACAACAGCGAAGGCAUCUUACGAGAACAGUUCUGACAGUAAGGGAUGAAAGCUAGGGGCGCAAAACGGAUUAGAUACCCGCGUAGUC
This 420-nucleotide ribosomal RNA is filed under the name uncultured archaeon. Its description in RNAcentral is "partial 16S ribosomal RNA". It matches the Rfam family "Archaeal small subunit ribosomal RNA", at positions 323 to 746 of the family's 1478-position model. The record is from RNAcentral.